Molecule: ribosomal RNA, 1122 nt
Filed under: uncultured bacterium
Lineage: Bacteria
Description: bacterial SSU rRNA
Rfam family: Bacterial small subunit ribosomal RNA
Source: RNAcentral
GUGACAUUAGCUAGUUGGUGGAGUAACGGCCCACNUAGGUUACGAUGUCUAGGGGCUCUGAGAGGAGAAUCCCCCACCACUGGUACUGAGACACGGACCAGACUCCUACGGGAGGCAGCAGUAAGGAAUAUUGGUCAAUGGGGGCAACCCUGAACCAGCCAUGCCGCGUGCAGGAAGACUGCCCUACGGGUUGUAAACUGCUUUUAUCGGGGAAUAACCCUCACUACGUGUAGUGAGUUGAAUGUACCCGAGGAAUAAGGAUCGGCUAACUCCGUGCCAGCAGCCGCGGUAAUACGGAGGAUCCAAGCGUUAUCCGGAUUUAUUGGGUUUAAAGGGUGCGUAGGCGGCACUUUAAGUCAGGGGUGAAAUACGGCAGCUUAACUGUCGCAGUGCCUUUGAUACUGAAGUGCUUGAAUGCGGAUGAAGACGGCGGAAUGAGACAAGUAGCGGUGAAAUGCAUAGAUAUGUCUCAGAACACCAAUUGCGAAGGCAGCUGUCUAAGCCGUAAUUGACGCUGAUGCACGAAAGCGUGGGGAUCGAACAGGAUUAGAUACCCUGGUAGUCCGCGCCCUAAACGAUGAUGACUCGAUGUUUGCGAUAUACAGUAAGCGUCCAAGCGAAAGCGUUAAGUCAUCCACCUGGGGAGUACGCCCGCAAGGGUGAAACUCAAAGGAAUUGACGGGGGCCCGCACAAGCGGAGGAGCAUGUGGUUUAAUUCGAUGAUACGCGAGGAACCUUACCCGGGCUUGAAAGUUACUGAAGCAUCCAGAGACGGAUGCGUCCUUCGGGACAGGAAACUAGGUGCUGCAUGGCUGUCGUCAGCUCGUGCCGUGAGGUGUUGGGUUAAGUCCCGCAACGAGCGCAACCCCUAUGUCUAGUUGCCAGCACGUUAAGGUGGGGACUCUAGACAGACUGCCUGCGCAAGCAGUGAGGAAGGCGGGGACGACGUCAAGUCAUCAUGGCCCUUACGUCCGGGGCUACACACGUGCUACAAUGGACGGUACAGCGGGCAGCUACACAGCAAUGUGAUGCCAAUCUCGUAAAGCCGUUCACAGUUCGGAUCGGGGUCUGCAACUCGACCCCGUGAAGUNGAUUCGCUAGUAAUCGCGUAUCAGCAAGACG